UACAGUUUUGGUCCUAGACUUGUUGCUAUUUAUAAUCAAAAUUACACAUGCAAGUAUCAGCACCCCAGUGAGAAUGCCCACCUAUUAAAGGAGCAGGUAUCAGGCACGGCCUCCCCCAGCCCAAGACACCUUGCUAUGCCACCCCCACAAGGGUAAUCAGCAGUGAUAAACAUUAAGCAAUGAGCUACACCACAAUAAAGCUCGACUUAGUUAUGAUUUAUGGGGCCGGUCAACCUCGUGCCAGCCACCGCGGUUAUACGAAGGGCCCAAAAUAGACAAACAACGGCGUAAAUGGUGGCUAGAACCCGUCAACUAUCAAAAUGAUAAACCAUGUCCUAACCGUAAAACACAGGACAAAUGAACACCUUAAUUUUGUUUAAAGACAAUUUGACCCCACGAAAACUAAGAACCAAACUAGGAUUAGAUACCCUACUAUGCUUAGUUGUAAAUAAGAUAUGAAAACUAUUUACAUGUCCGCCAGAAAAUUACAAGCGAAAAGCUUAAAACCCAAAGGACUUGGCGGUGCUCCACACCCACUUAGAGGAGCCUGUCCUAUAAUUGAUACUCCACAAUAGACCUCACCCCCUAUUGCCCACCACAGCCUAUAUACCGCCGUCGUAAAUCUGCCCUGUGAGGGCAAAACAGCAGGUACAAUAGCUACUAGCUAAAACGUCAGGUCAAGGCGUAGCUUAUAAGGGGGAAAAGAUGGGCUACAUUCUUUAACAUAAACUAAACGGCAAAGAACUGUGAAAGUACUUCUUAAAGGUGGAUUUAACAGUAAGGUUAACAAGAAAAUUAACCUUAAACUAGCCCUGGAGCGCGCACACACCGCCCGUCACCCUCAUCAACACACCACCAUACUAUAUAUAAUUUAAACACCAAAAAAAGACGAGG
Molecule: non-coding RNA, 894 nt
Filed under: Diplolaemus darwinii
Lineage: Eukaryota; Metazoa; Chordata; Lepidosauria; Squamata; Leiosauridae
Source: RNAcentral